Rattus norvegicus (Norway rat) is the source of this 417-nucleotide non-coding RNA. NCBI's taxonomy places the organism in Eukaryota, Metazoa, Chordata, Mammalia, Rodentia, Muridae. The record is from RefSeq and is a predicted model, not a curated record.
AUCUGAAGGAUUUAACAAAGGACCCUAACAUUCCACUGAACUACAGAGGGGACAGAAACAUGAAAACAAUCUUGGAAAAGAAUGAAGUUGUAUAUGUUGCACUAUCUGACUUCAAAAUUUACUACAAAACUGGGGUAAUCAAAUGCUGGGAUGCUUUCUAUAAAACAGAGAUACAGUUGCUGUGAUAAGUCAGCAAAAGUGACUUCCAAGUUAGAGUCCAGCAACAAGGGAAGCCAGAGCAGGAGUGGAAACAGGAAACUGGAGGCAGAAACUGAAAGAGAAGCAUGGAGGAAUACAGAAUGUAUAGUCCACGUACAAGCCAACAACACCUACUCGGGAGGGGCGCUGCCCACAGUGGUCUAAAUCCCACCCCAUGAAUUAACAAUGAAUAAAAUAUCCCCCUAAAUAUGUUCAAAA